Molecule: ribosomal RNA, 253 nt
Filed under: uncultured bacterium
Lineage: Bacteria
Description: partial 16S ribosomal RNA
Rfam family: Bacterial small subunit ribosomal RNA
Source: RNAcentral
UACGUAGGGUGCAAGCGUUGCCCGGAUUUAUUGGGCGUAAAGGGCGCGCAGGCGGCUACGCACGUCCGUUGUGAAAUCGCUCGGCUCAACUGGGCGGGGUCGGCGGAUACGGCGUAGCUGGAGCAAGCUAGGGGGCAAUGGAAUUCCCGGUGUAGUGGUGGAAUGCGUAGAUAUCGGGAGGAACACCGGUGGCGAAGGCGCCUAUCUGGCCCGAUACUGACGCUGAGGCGCGAAAGCUAGGGGAGCAAACGGG